This 322-nucleotide ribosomal RNA is filed under the name uncultured eukaryote. RNAcentral's name for it is "partial 18S ribosomal RNA". It matches the Rfam family "Eukaryotic small subunit ribosomal RNA", at positions 1470 to 1796 of the family's 1831-position model. The record is from RNAcentral.
CCCUUAGAUGUUCUGGGCCGCACGCGUGCUACACUGAGUGGAUCAGCGGGUCAGGUUGCGCGAAAGUGUUUCCUAAUCUUGAAAUCCGCUCGUGAUGGGGAUUGACGGUUGCAAUUUUCCGUCAUGAACGAGGAAUACCUUGUAAGCGCGGGUCAACAUCCCGCGCUGAAUACGUCCCUGCCCUUUGUACACACCGCCCGUCGCUCCUACCGAUUGAGUGGUCCGGUGAGGCUUUGGGAUCUGAGCGGAAAGAGCGUUUCGCUGUUUCUGCUCGGAAAACUCAGUCGAACCUUAUCAUUUAGAGGAAGGAGAAGUCGUAACA